GCUCGUGUGGCGAAAUUGGCAGACGCAGCAGACUUAAAAUCUGUGGGAGAGAUCCUUGCCGGUUCAAGUCCGGCCAUGAGCACCA
RNAcentral lists this transfer RNA (85 nucleotides) under Fastidiosipila sanguinis. RNAcentral's name for it is "tRNA-Leu". It matches the Rfam family "tRNA". Rfam says of the family: Transfer RNA (tRNA) molecules are approximately 80 nucleotides in length. The record is from RNAcentral. Lineage: Bacteria; Bacillati; Bacillota; Clostridia; Eubacteriales; Oscillospiraceae.